RNAcentral lists this ribosomal RNA (253 nucleotides) under uncultured bacterium. Its description in RNAcentral is "partial 16S ribosomal RNA". It matches the Rfam family "Bacterial small subunit ribosomal RNA", at positions 524 to 776 of the family's 1533-position model. The record is from RNAcentral.
UACGAAGGGGGCUAGCGUUGCCCGGAAUUACUGGGCGUAAAGCGCACGUAGGCGGUCUUUUAAGUCGGGGGUGAAAUCCUGGAGCUCAACUCCAGAACUGCCUUUGAUACUGAAGAUCUUGAGUUCGGGAGAGGUGAGUGGAACUGCGAGUGUAGAGGUGAAAUUCGUAGAUAUUCGCAAGAACACCAGUGGCGAAGGCGGCUCACUGGCCCGAUACUGACGCUGAGGCACGAAAGCGUGGGGAGCAAACAGG